Long non-coding RNA from Hippocampus zosterae (dwarf seahorse), 694 nucleotides. RefSeq lists it as uncharacterized. The transcript has 2 exons. Lineage: Eukaryota; Metazoa; Chordata; Actinopteri; Syngnathiformes; Syngnathidae. The record is from RefSeq and is a predicted model, not a curated record.
CGUCCCGUUGACCGACUGGAAAACACACGGAUAGGACAUGGCUGCUGACGCCGCCAGCCAGCUCUGCCAAGUCACAAAGCCGGUGGAAUAUUGGCACAUCCACGCCUGUAACUUCUCGCAAUACUCCGCGGUGGUGCAACUUUCAGGACGCAGACAAGAGGACAGACUGACACACGGUGGAAAUGUCAUAUUUGAAGCCCAGUGGGGUGAGUGCUUGAUGCGGAGCCGCCCAAUCAGGAGCAGGUGCCGCCAUUGCCAUGGUGACAAUAGGGUUAAGAGGCGUGUCUUCAAAUCAAAUUCUGGUGUGAGGGUCUGAAGGGGCCAUGUGGCGUCUUUUGACUUAUUUUCACAAAGUAGCACAUUUACUUCAUGUCAACACAAAAAGAGGCUUUCUUGAUGAUCGUUGAAUAAUCGCGAUGGGCAAAGUAUGGCCUGAGCACACAUACAGCCCACUUUGUUUUUUAAACUAGCCCAUUAAACCAGCAUUUACAGUAUUCCUGUCAUUUUUUAAACGAAUCCCAUUAUACAAUUUGUUGCAUAUUAGUGACAUAAAAAUACAUAUAUCUGUAUAGUGAUCAAUGUUUCAUUUAUUUAUUUUUUUAUAAAUAAUUGAUUGUAACUGAAUUAAAAAAAACGAAAGCAUGAGAUUUAUCCAUCCAAUACGAGUAAAAUAAACUAUACAUUUUACAUUUUA